UGAGGAAUAUUGGUCAAUGGGCGCGAGCCUGAACCAGCCAAGUAGCGUGAAGGAUGAAGGUCCUACGGAUUGUAAACUUCUUUUAUAAGGGAAUAAAGUCACCCACGCGUGGGUGUUUGUAUGUACCUUAUGAAUAAGCAUCGGCUAACUCCGUGCCAGCAGCCGCGGUAAUACGGAGGAUGCGAGCGUUAUCCGGAUUUAUUGGGUUUAAAGGGAGCGUAGACGGGUCGUUAAGUCAGCUGUGAAAGUUUGGGGCUCAACCUUAAAAUUGCAGUUGAUACUGGCGUCCUUGAGUACGGUUGAGGCAGGCGGAAUUCGUGGUGUAGCGGUGAAAUGCUUAGAUAUCACGAAGAACCCCGAUUGCGAAGGCAGCCUGCUAAACCGCCACUGACGUUGAGGCUCGAAAGUGUGGGUAUCAAACAGGAUUAGAUACCCUGGUAGUCCACACGGUAAACGAUGGAUACUCGCUGUUGGCGAUAGACUGUCAGCGGCUUAGCGAAAGCGUUAAGUAUCCCACCUGGGGAGUACGCCGGCAACGGUGAAACUCAAAGGAAUUGACGGGGGCCCGCACAAGCGGAGGAACAUGUGGUUUAAUUCGAUGAUACGCGAGGAACCUUACCCGGGCUUGAAUUGCAGACGAAUUGCUUGGAAACAGGCAAGCCGCAAGGCGUCUGUGAAGGUGCUGCAUGGUUGUCGUCAGCUCGUGCCGUGAGGUGUCGGCUUAAGUGCCAUAACGAGCGCAACCCUCGUGUCCAGUUACUAGCAGGUUAUGCUGAGGACUCUGGACAGACUGCCAUCGUAAGAUGUGAGGAAGGUGGGGAUGACGUCAAAUCAGCACGGCCCUUACGUCCGGGGCUACACACGUGUUACAAUGGGGGGUACAGCAGGCAGCUACCGGGCGACCGGAUGCCAAUCCCGAAAGCCUCUCUCAGUUCGGACUGGAGUCUGCAACCCGACUCCACGAAGCUGGAUUCGCUAGUAAUCGCGCAUCAGCCACGGCGCGGUGAAUACGUUCCC
RNAcentral lists this ribosomal RNA (1017 nucleotides) under uncultured bacterium. RNAcentral's name for it is "bacterial SSU rRNA". It matches the Rfam family "Bacterial small subunit ribosomal RNA", at positions 355 to 1375 of the family's 1533-position model. The record is from RNAcentral.